AAAAGGAGGGAGAAGUUAUAGAGCAUUUGUUAAUAGAAAUAGAUUUUAGUAACAAUAUGAAUAUUUCAUUAAAUUUCAAAUUUAUAUUAGAAAUAGGUUUAGGUCAUGGCCAUUCCCUCUAUGUAUUUAUUUAAAUAUUGUAAAUGGAUAAGCAUUUAAAUCACUGAAAGCAUUUUAGUUUGUUUCAAAUAUACAUUAUCUGAUAAUCUUCAGCCAGUUAAUGAAUGGGACAUAUACUAAAUUCACCCUAACCCUCUUUAAAAAUAAGUUUUAAGAUGAUGAACACUAAAGAUUGUCAACCAUUUAAAAAAUAUGGCCUAUAUUAUUUUUUUAAGUGUUUUUCUCUAAAUCUAUUCAAACUUCUUAGGAACAGUCAACAUUCCUACACAAAAUGGUGUUUUAAAGCAACUCUCAAAAUCUGAAGCACCGAAGGGUAAUUUUGUUAAUCCAUCAUCCUACUUCUUGCUUAACAGCAAUUUAUUUCAGACAUCCAAAUACAAUUUAUUAAUUUCUAAUACAAAAGCCCCAAAAUUCCUAACUUACAGAAAACAUUCCAAAUGUUCCUACCUUUACUAUUUCAUGUUGAGUCAUGAGGAAUAAAGGGGCUCUAUAGGCAUUAGAAAUGUCACAAUUAGAAAAGAAUGUGGUAUUCUGAACCUUUUAUCAUUUGGAAACUGAUGGGAAUUUGUCUUAGUGUAGUAUAUUCAAAAUACUGUUUUUAAAAAAAACCAGCAUUGGGGAGUCUAAAGAUUACUGCCAAGUUUCACAAAGCUUUCUUGUUUUCUCUAUGACCAUAUCAAAUUGAAUACCUUACAGAACAAUUUCUAGCGAACAAUUCAUAUUGUGUGUUUUUUAACUUUUUAAAUAUAUUUUUAUUGAUUUCAGAGAAGAAGGGAUAGGGAGAGAGA
Molecule: long non-coding RNA, 908 nt
Organism: Myotis brandtii (Brandt's bat)
Lineage: Eukaryota; Metazoa; Chordata; Mammalia; Chiroptera; Vespertilionidae
Exons: 2
Source: RefSeq, a predicted model, not a curated record